Molecule: small nucleolar RNA, 141 nt
Organism: Meriones unguiculatus (Mongolian gerbil)
Lineage: Eukaryota; Metazoa; Chordata; Mammalia; Rodentia; Muridae
Product: small nucleolar RNA SNORA48
Exons: 1
Source: RefSeq, a predicted model, not a curated record
AACCCCUGGCAAUGGGCAGAGACACCUUGUUGGUGGUGGUGUUUUCUGUCAGUCAGGGGAAGAGCAGAGGGCAGCGCUUUGUUCAUCCUAGCUUGAUGCCUGGCUUGGUGGCCAAAGCUGUUUCAUGCCUGGGGCACAUAA